CGGCUACAUCAUAUUGAAACACUGGUUUCCAUUUGAUUACUGAAGUUAAGCAACAUCGAUCCUGAUCAAUACCUAAAUGGGUGACCACUUGGGAAUACUAGAUGCUGUUA
Non-coding RNA from Acanthosepion pharaonis, 110 nucleotides. Lineage: Eukaryota; Metazoa; Mollusca; Cephalopoda; Sepiida; Sepiidae. The record is from the annotation of a GenBank genome assembly.